Molecule: ribosomal RNA, 253 nt
Filed under: uncultured bacterium
Lineage: Bacteria
Description: partial 16S ribosomal RNA
Rfam family: Bacterial small subunit ribosomal RNA
Source: RNAcentral
UACGUAGGGUGCAAGCGUUGUCCGGAAUUAUUGGGCGUAAAGAGCUUGUAGGCGGUUUGUCGCGUCUGCUGUGAAAUUUCGGGGCUCAACCCCCAACUUGCAGUGGGUACGGGCAGACUAGAGUGUGGUAGGGGAGACUGGAAUUCCUGGUGUAGCGGUGAAAUGCGCAGAUAUCAGGAGGAACACCGAUGGCGAAGGCAGGUCUCUGGGCCAUAACUGACGCUGAGAAGCGAAAGCAUGGGGAGCGAACAGG